This 481-nucleotide ribosomal RNA is filed under the name uncultured bacterium. Its description in RNAcentral is "partial 16S ribosomal RNA". It matches the Rfam family "Bacterial small subunit ribosomal RNA", at positions 30 to 507 of the family's 1533-position model. The record is from RNAcentral.
UUGAACGCUGGCGGCAUGCCUUACACAUGCCAGUCGAACGGUAACGGGCCUUCGGGUGCCGACGAGUGGCGAACGGGUGAGUAAUACAUCGGAACGUGCCCGAUCGUGGGGGAUAACGAGGCGAAAGCUUUGCUAAUACCGCAUACGAUCUACGGAUGAAAGCAGGGGACCGCAAGGCCUUGCGCGGACGGAGCGGCCGAUGGCAGAUUAGGUAGUUGGUGGGAUAAAAGCUUACCAAGCCGACGAUCUGUAGCUGGUCUGAGAGGAUGAUCAGCCACACUGGGACUGAGACACAGCCCAGACUCCUACGGGAGGCAGCAGUGGGGAAUUUUGGACAAUGGGCGCAAGCCUGAUCCAGCCAUGCCGCGUGCAGGAUGAAGACCUUCGGGUUGUAAACUGCUUUUGUACGGAACGAAAAGCCUUCUUUUAAUACAGGAGGGUCAUGACGGUACCGUAAGAAUAAGCACCGGCUAACUACGUG